KCGCNGCUUACCAUGCAAGUUCGAGCGGAGAUGAGGUGCUUGCACCUUAUCUUAGCGGCGGACGGGUGAGUAAUGCUUAGGAAUCUGCCUAUUAGUGGGGGACAACAUUCCGAAAGGAAUGCUAAUACCGCAUACGUCCUACGGGAGAAAGCAGGGGAUCUUCGGACCUUGCGCUAAUAGAUGAGCCUAAGUCGGAUUAGCUAGUUGGUGGGGUAAAGGCCUACCAAGGCGACGAUCUGUAGCGGGUCUGAGAGGAUGAUCCGCCACACUGGGACUGAGACACGGCCCAGACUCAUACGGGAGGCAGCAGUGGGGAAUAUUGGACAAUGGGGGGAACCCUGAUCCAGCCAUGCCGCGUGUGUGAAGAAGGCCUUAUGGUUGUAAAGCACUUUAAGCGAGGAGGAGGCUACUGAGACUAAUACUCUUGGAUAGUGGACGUUACUCGCAGAAUAAGCACCGGCUAACUCUGUGCCAGCAGCCGCGGUAAUACAGAGGGUGCGAGCGUUAAUA
RNAcentral lists this ribosomal RNA (510 nucleotides) under uncultured bacterium. Its description in RNAcentral is "bacterial SSU rRNA". It matches the Rfam family "Bacterial small subunit ribosomal RNA", at positions 44 to 543 of the family's 1533-position model. The record is from RNAcentral.